This 649-nucleotide long non-coding RNA is filed under the name Neodiprion pinetum (white pine sawfly). Its description in RNAcentral is "uncharacterized LOC124210646". The record is from RNAcentral. Lineage: Eukaryota; Metazoa; Arthropoda; Insecta; Hymenoptera; Diprionidae.
AUGAAUACAAAUAUAUUCAUUUUUCCUUAAUUCCCAAUAACAUAACCUAUCUUUAUGAAUGAAAACUAAAUGCAGAAUUUGCGACACGACUUUUCAAUAAAGCUUUAAAAGAACAACCACAAGCAUCAACGUCUGUUGAUCUUACUGAUGAAAAUCUUCAAUUUUCUGAGGCUGACACAGAUCAAUUUAUUGAUCAAGAAUUCCUCACUACAGAAGAUACUGUUUAUUCCAACUCUGAAACUCAAGAAAGCGAAGCUUCUUUGUAUAGGUGGAGCACGCCUUGUGUUUUGUUAUUAUUAGAGUCUUAUAGAGCAUUGGAAAAAGAUUUUUAUAGUGGAAAAAUAUCCCAAAAGAAAAUUUGGGAAAAAGUUGCCAAAGAAUUGAAGGUAAAAGGACAUGAUGUAACUGGACCACAAUGUUCUUCAAAGCUACGAAGCUUAAAAAAAACUUACAAAUCUAUUAAAGAUCAUAAUAAUAAAUCAGGAAAUGACAGAAGGACUUGGCAGUUUUUUGAUAAUCAAAGAAGACACCAGUUGCCACUUUAUUAGGAAAAAGACUGAAGCAAAAAGAAGAACACGAAGCACAGAAAAAUAAAAGACACAAAGAGCGAAUGGAAAUGGAUGAAAAAUUUCUCAACGUUCUAGAAAAA